RNAcentral lists this unclassified non-coding RNA (278 nucleotides) under Hevea brasiliensis (rubber tree). Lineage: Eukaryota; Viridiplantae; Streptophyta; Magnoliopsida; Malpighiales; Euphorbiaceae. The record is from RNAcentral.
GACAGCUUAUUCCAAAUGGUUGUGUUGGUUGUAAUGAAACUUAAUCAAGUGAAUCCAAAACUUUGUUUAGUGAGUUUAUAUAGUGAUAUUGCCUGAGAAGUAUAUUCAUGAUAAGCAUUCUUAUGUUUGAUGACAUAAGUUGUUUGGCAUAACAAAGUGAGUUCAUGAUUUUAUGCUUGAUAUAGGUACAUGACUUGAUUUGAUUUUAUCCUUUUGGCCUUUGCAGAUCUGAUAAGAGAAAUUUAGAAUUUAACUGCCUUAUCCUUUCUUUCUUUUUU